GAGGGACAAGAGCCCUUAAACGGCCGCAUUAUAACUGCGCAAAGGUAGCAAAAUCAUUUGUCCUCUAAAUAGGGACCCGUAUGAAUGGCCACAUGAGAAAGGGACUGUCUCCUUGAGCCCGCCAGUGAACCUGAUCUGUCUGUACAAACGCAGACAUGCAAAAGCAAGACAAAAAGACCCCGCGAAACUUUAGGUGUUCGUCAAAAAUUAAAUGACCAAAACACCUUAGGUUGGGGCAACCAAAGAGAAACGCAAACCUCUUGUCCAGUCACACGGCAAACAGGCCAACUGACGCCAAACCCGACCCAGUACCACUGAUCAAAGAACCAAGCUACUCCGGGGAUAACAGCGCCACAUUCUUGAAGAGUCCACAUCAACAAGAAUACCUACGACCUCGAUGUUGGAUUAGGGUCCCCCGAUGGCGCAAAAGUUAUCAAAGGUUCGUUUGUUCAACGAUUAAAACCCCACGUGAUC
Molecule: ribosomal RNA, 474 nt
Filed under: Microauris aurantolabium
Lineage: Eukaryota; Metazoa; Chordata; Lepidosauria; Squamata; Agamidae
Description: Agamidae sp. SPP-2018e partial 16S ribosomal RNA
Rfam family: Bacterial large subunit ribosomal RNA
Source: RNAcentral